Temnothorax curvispinosus is the source of this 413-nucleotide long non-coding RNA. RefSeq lists it as uncharacterized. Lineage: Eukaryota; Metazoa; Arthropoda; Insecta; Hymenoptera; Formicidae. The record is from RefSeq and is a predicted model, not a curated record. The transcript is spliced from 3 exons.
UCUACCUAACACUCGGCACUGACGAUCGUCGCGCCGAGAAUCCUUAUAUAUUGUACGCACGGAGUCGCGAAACGAUAAAAUACAUCGAGAAAUGCGCGUCGUAUUAAAGCGUAAAAGUGGCGCAAAAUAUUAUGUAUUUUCUAGUUGAUGUCGCGAGUUAUCAAGACCACAAAUAUGUGUGAUAUGAUAAUAGUGAAGGCAACGUGUUAAGACGAACAAAGAGUCGAGUCACGGUGAGGCGAAGGAAAAGCUAUCCAAGUGACCCGAAACACACGUAAUAUCGCAAAGGAUAAUGAACACAGUCUCGUACUAAUUAUGCUCGCAAGGCGCAACCAUGGAAUUAUAUGCUAUAUGGUUUACCGUAAUCAGCACCGCGGCACCACGGAGAAGUAAGAAACUGCAGAUUUCCGUGU